This is a long non-coding RNA of Manis javanica (Malayan pangolin), 2109 nucleotides long. RefSeq lists it as uncharacterized. NCBI's taxonomy places the organism in Eukaryota, Metazoa, Chordata, Mammalia, Pholidota, Manidae. The record is from RefSeq and is a predicted model, not a curated record.
CUGGUGGUCGGGACUGUGUUCGCUAUUCGGGGGCGCCGAGUUCCUCCGAGUCCGGCCUCGCGGCCGGUUUUUGGAAACGAGGCGCCCGAAAGGAGACCGCGCCACCGCCGGCCGGCAGCGCCGCUCAGUCGUCCGGGCCGAGCUACGGGCCUCCACCGUGCGGCUGGAGAAGCGGGUCAGUCCGUGGGACGCACACUGGCCGUCUCCUGGAAGUAGUUCGUCAGGCAGGACGCGUCGUGCGGCGUUUGGAACUCACGGAGGCGCCGUGGUGGAGGGUGGAGGGCAAGGGCCCGGCCGGCGACCGCGAGCCCUCAGCGCUUCCGGGGGCGCCCUGAUUCACAGCCGGCGCCCACUCACGCGAGGCGGAAGCUCUGGCUGACGCGGCAGGGAAGCUCGUGCGGACGCUGGGGCGGCCCACCGACCGAGCCGAGCGUCAGGCGCGCUGCGAAGCCCGGAGGCGGCGGAGGGCGUCGACGGGCGGUAGUGCGGCAGAUGCUGGCGGUGGCCGUGCAGGCGGGGCGCCUUGCUCUGGGGCGCAGUCCUGGCCGCGUGAAGGGGCCGCCGGCCAGCGGAGGCCGCACCUGGGACGCACGCCAGCUAGAUGCAGCGAAGCCUGCUGACGUGGAGUUAGCACAAGUGGCUCCAUUUGGGGUCUGCUGUCUGUUUUUUUCAACAAUACCCCCUUUUGAUGAGACUCUCUGCAGAAACAAUUUUCUCUGAUGAGUGCCGCUCCCAGCUUCCACCCUGCAGUUACAGCCUGUUGCUGGUGCACUGUACCGUGCAGGGUCUGGACGUUUUGGUGACUCCCUGUGGUGUUCGUAGGUCACGACUUCGGGCUCUCCGGUUUUAGCCGUUCAUGCUCGGGGCUCUUUUUCCUCUGGUCCAGUCUUUUUCCUCUGGUCCAGUCUUAGGGAGAUCAUUUGCUUGGGUUAACCACUGCAAACGUGCACUUACAGCUUUUUAGAGAGUACAGAGUGCCAGGGUACCACUGCCGUUAUCAGAAGCAGGAUAAUCCUGCGUGGAGAGCCCCUCGGAGCCUCGUCCGCAUAUCCAAACCAAUCAAAAGUAAGUCAAAGAGAUGGCUUGGAGGCACCUUUUAAAAAGCGAGGUGGCUUGCGCAGUAAUGUUAGGGAGCUCUGAGUUUCAACUUUCCCAUAAAUUAAUCCAGGCAGGGCGUGUUCCGCGCCGCACAGACACCUGUUCAGCUGAGAGAUAAUCACGGGCUAUCCCAUUACCGGGAGCAGCGUUGGCCCUGCAGAGAUCUCACGAUGGAGGCAGAUCUGGGUUAGAUAACCAUAAGAAAGUGGGGAUACAAAUGUACUACAAUCUGCACCGACAUUUGUGUGUGACUGGAUAAGUACAGUUACAAUUGGAGAAAGGUAAAAACGAGGCGCUGGAUGUUCUGUGGUUUCAAGUCAGACUGCGUAGAUGACUGGGGGUUGGUGCGCAGUAGGAGAGAAACUAGUCAGAGGCAACUCGGGGUCCCCCAAAUCAAGGACAAAUAGGCGUUUUAAUAACAAAUACAGUAGUUUAAAAGGUCACCCCUUUAGCGAUGGGUUGGGACGUAUGGAUGGUGGCAUUACCUUUCCAGAUAAAUGCCAGCACAAAAGAAAGAAGAUACGGUUUCUUUGUUAAAGUAUGAAACCUUGAGCUGGUGUCUUUGGAAGCAGUCCACAUCGAAGUCAGCCACUUCUCAUCAGUUUGAUUUGAAGGUCUCCAGCGUCUACACAGGAACCGAUGUCAGGGGGAGCCUUCCACAGCUUUGGUAAGAAAGCAGUUAACUGAAGAGAUGUUACUGCAGACUGACCAAGAGAAGACCCCGUAUGCUCCAUCCGCAUUUCCUGUGGCACUGGGCCUGAGGAAGGACUGAACCAGCAGACCCCAAUACAGUGUGGAAGGGGACUGAACCUCCAGCAGUUUCCUGUGCAGAAUUUGGGUUGGGUAGAGCCCAGAGCUGUGGGGAACUUACUCACGGUCCUGGUGAGGAAGACAGAGAACUUAAGGGUUUCAUGGGUGCCACACCGGUGUUUUCCACUGUCCCCAAAGCCAUCAGAUGUCUCCUUUGGUCCUGCUGCUAACCAAUCUUUUAAAAAAAUUCAACUGAGUACA